UUUCCAGAGAUGGAUUGGUGCCUUCGGGAACGCUGAGACAGGUGCUGCAUGGCUGUCGUCAGCUCGUGUUGUGAAAUGUUGGGUUAAGUCCCGNAACGAGCGCAACCCUUAUCCUUUGUUGCCAGCGAUUCGGUCGGGAACUCAAAGGAGACUGCCGGUGAUAAACCGGAGGAAGGUGGGGAUGACGUCAAGUCAUCAUGGCCCUUACGAGUAGGGCUACACACGUGCUACAAUGGCGCAUACAAAGAGAAGCGACCUCGCGAGAGCAAGCGGACCUCAUAAAGUGCGUCGUAGUCCGGAUCGGAGUCUGCAACUCGACUCCGUGAAGUCGGAAUCGCUAGUAAUCGUGGAUCAGAAUGCCACGGUGAAUACGUUCCCGGGCCUUGUACACACCGCCCGUCACACCAUGGGAGUGGGUUGCAAAAGAAGUAGGUAGCUUAACCUUCGGGAGGGCGCUUACCACUUUGUGAUUCAUGACUGGGGUGAAGUCGUAACAAGGUAGGCGUAGCGAG
This 512-nucleotide ribosomal RNA is filed under the name uncultured bacterium. RNAcentral's name for it is "bacterial SSU rRNA". It matches the Rfam family "Bacterial small subunit ribosomal RNA", at positions 997 to 1509 of the family's 1533-position model. The record is from RNAcentral.